GUGAGUGUUAAAUGCCUUUUUUGUUUGCUACAGCGAGGAACAAUUUAAGGAGACUUGGGCUCUGGUUUUGUGAGGGUAAGCCUGGAUCACACGGCAUUGCUUUAUUUUUCAACCUGGCAUGCAGAUUGUUACAGCCGUGCACUGUGAGCGACAGCUAAGGCCAGCCAGUCACUGGAACCACAGGCUGAUGGACGGUUAAGCAGUUGGAGGGGUGCCAGCAGGGCUCAGACAGGUAGGAGCUACGCCAAGGCUGUUCCUCGACCAUCCAUCCUGCAGGAUGACACACCAGCGCCUGCUAGCUUCUAUUAUGGCUCCUUCUCUUCCUCUCCUGAAUAGAGCAAAUUUGAUUUGGCCUCUGCAAAAGCACUUUUCACCACAUAAAAGCUCAUUACUGUGAUGGAAAAGUGGCAUUCAAGGUAAAGCUGGUUGGGUGAAGCGAGGACAACGUGAACAUGGUGAAAACACAGGGCUCACACUUGUUCAGUUAGUAUGAGUGUAUUCUGUUUCUCUCUUCUUGUUCAUGAACUUGUGCCUAGCCAUUUACAGAUUUAUAGUGCAAUAACAGGUUCUUGUACUGCUUUUGUACACUGUUAAGGACUUAAAGGAACACUUCAGUAUUUUCAACUUAAAUAGCUGGUGUGUGGCUGCCGUCACACCAUCCAGGUUGAUGCUACACACUAGUGGUGGUUGAGGUGACACCCCUCCCCCAUACUGUGUAAAGCACUUUGAGAGUCUAGAAAAGCACUAUAUAAAUGUAACUAAAAAAAUGUCUUUAUUCACUGCAUGUGUAUUCAACUCAAAAUAUAUGGAUUAAUACAAAUUUCAACAUAUUUCUCUGUACUGACGAAUGAAAAGAAAACCUGUUUACCUGAAACUCACUUAUAAUGGAAGUCUAAGGGCAGUUGUUCUGGUAGUGAAUAACCCUUUACGUGAAAUACUUUCAUGAAUUCAUCGGUCAAAGCUAUUCAUAAAUUCAGCUCCAAAUGUGUAUAAAUGUGAUUUUAUUUUUUCGGUGAGAAGUACGUCAGAUGCCUCUUAGUUCUGUUCUCAGUACAGGGAGCUGGCUUAAAAUUAUUUUUGCAUAGUUAUCACAUCUACUAUGUAGAGAUUAUCAUUAAAAACCCUGCAGUAUUUCUUUAAUAUAUUUGCUCCAUGUCCAGUACAGUCAGGAACUGGGAGUUGGCAGCAGUCGAUGCAAGUGCAGAUUUAUUAGUGAACGGUGCAAACAAACAACAAAAACACUGAAAACAAGAACCAAAAACUAGAGUUACGAGGCAAAACGUCUGGGUUACGCAUGCAACCCUGUUCUCUGAGAUGGGAACGAGACAUUGCAUGAGCUUCACGCUGUGGGAAGUGCCCUCACGCAUGACCGGUAUCUGAAGUCUGUGUAAAAUCAUAACUAUAAAAUGGUGCCUGUGAACCACGUCAUCAGCCUCUAUUAUCUGAAGCAAAGACGCGAUUCACAGGCAUGCCCCAGUAUGAAAAAGCUAUGCAAUGGCUUAUUCCCUUCUCAGGGAACAGGGUUACAUUUACCCCAGACAUUCCCUUUCAUACUGAGGGUAUGGCUGUCAUGGUGAACUGGAAACUCCUAGAGAGGGCCGUCCAGCAGAGAUAUUAUCUCCAAUAACCAAAUUUGAGCUAGCCAAUCCAGUGCUAUCAGCAGCAGACAUAGCACGGUCUUGGCGAACUCUCACUAGAGCCUGUGGAAGGAGAGUGAUCGGGGGAAAGGCGUACAGAUGUGACCUCAGCCACAUGUGUUCCAUGGUGUCCAGCCCUGUCCUUUUUAUUUAUUUAUUUUUUGGUGCAGGAGGAGUGAGGGCGAAAAACAGCGGGCAGCGUGUUGUCUCCUCAGAAGUGAACACGUCCUCUUCCGCUCGGCCGCACCUCCGCCAUAUGGACUCACCCACUUGUGGAUGGAGCCUCCAGUCCCCAGGCCUCAGCCUCUGCAUCAACAGGAUGUCUGCCCCAACAUUCCAGUAGCCCGGAAUAUACAUUGCACUCACUGACCAAACUUCCCCUCUACCAGAGAAGAAUUAGUUGAGUCUGCCUGAAAAGGGGGCGUGAACGUAAUGCUCCCUGGUGGUUGAUAUAUGAGACCACCGCUGUGUUGUCUAACACAUGGUGACCUCUCAACUGACGAGAAGAAAUUCAGUGCUAGGAGUACAGCCCACACUUCGAGGCGAUUUAUAUGCCACACUAGAUGAGGGCUGCACCACAGACCAUGAGGGAGGUGUCUGACAUUACCGUCUUGUGAUAAGAGAUGCCGCUAGAGUGUGACCUGAGGGACACUUCCUAGUUCUCAGAACAUGUAAAAAUCGCCGCCUGACACUGAUUACUCCCAGGGGUUUCGUCCUCUGAUGAAACCCCCGACCUUCAGCCACAAAUGAACGGUUUCAUGUGCGUUGGGCCCAAUGGUAUGACAUUGGCUGCUGCUGACAUAAGCUCCAACAGUCUCCGUAGAGACUGGAGGGGAUGCCAAGUCUAUCUUGCUCAAUGUUGAUAGGAUUUGCCCUGCGUGUGUUGGGGAUAGACAUGCCCUCAUUGUAUUCGAAUCCCAGCUCUUGUCUGGAGAACCAACUGUUCCUGAGGUUCAACCUGAGCCCCAAGCUCUUCAUGUGGAUGAGAACAACAUCUUGAUGUUGAACUUUUUGGACCGCACUAGAAUUAACCAGUCGUCCAGGUAGUUUAGCACACGGAUAAUCUGGAGUCGCAAAGGAACCAACGCGAAAUCCAUACAUUUCCUGAAGGUGCGAGGGGAUAAAGCUAGCGAAUGGAAGAACCAAUAUUGAUAUGCGUUGCCUCCAAACGAGAACCUCAGGAAUUUCCUGUGACUGGGCAAUGGAAUAUGCACCUUUUUUUAGAUCUAUCCUCACAAACCAAUCCUCAAACUGAGUCUGUGGAACGAUAAGGUUGAGCGUCAACAUCCUGGACCUGUAUGUCCAAAGAUUAUGGAUCAGAUGGCACAGAUCUAAAAUUCUAUAUCCAUAUAUCCCGUCUUUUCUGUGGACUAGGAAAUAACGGCUGUAAAACCCCCCUGCCUCAGAGAAAGAGGUACAUGUUAUAUGGCACCUUUGUCCAAGAGAGAUCCACUUCUUGGGCUAACAUCGGGCUCUGCAUUGUGCUGUCUAUUGUGGGAGGUGUCGAGCUAUGAACUGGGCCCGGAACCCUUUUCUAUGGAAGACAGAACCCAUGGAGACACAUUUGGCUGUAGUUUCCAUGCUGCCAGAUGGUCUCUAGUGACGUUAACUUUCCACAUUUUGUUGGAGGGAAAGCAUCAGAUUUUCCUUGCCCUGUGACAGCUCGCUGACCAGAGAAAACUGAAAACUUGGGACGACAUUGACUAGGGGAGCACUACAGUAAUACUGGGGGCUAACUGUCCUAACAACCUCUCGUCCCCUGAUACCUCCCUCCGCAGCCCUUCAGGACUGCUUCUUUUUGUCUUUUUGGCACUGAUUAUCAUUUAAAAUCAGGCCUACUAGCAGGCUGCAACUGUGGCUGCCCGGUCCCCCUGGCUUUCUGCAGGUGGAGGCAGGCUGCCACACUCACCUUCUGUGCCCCCUAGCAAUUCAGCAGUUCUGCCUGGUAGGCCUGCAACACUGCCAUUUUUGCUGAUACCCACAAGCAAGUCUUGCUGCCAUGUAGGCUUCACCAACCAACGAAUAGGUGGUCUUACACGGCCUGGAUGGCAAAGCUGGCCUCCUGAUUUUGCUGGCAUCGAUGGAGAGAGGUGGCUCGCAAGUGCCUCCUGUACCUUCGGCAUAGCAAAAUAGCUGUAAUGUUUAUCCCCCAUGAUGGCCGAAUAAUCCAACGUCGCAGGGUCAUAAACAGGGAGCUUCCCACAGCGUGAAGUUCAAGCAACGUUGAGUUCCCUUUGAAAGGGAACAUAAAGACUAUGAUAGAGACUAAGGUACACACCAACACACAAAAGCUUGACAACCAGAUGCUGAAACAUAGUCCCUGCGUCCCAAUUGGCAUACAUAAAAGUAUGUACUCUAUUUGUUAAGAAAUUUUCCAAAUUUCAUUCACACCUCUUUAAAAUGCUUCCUUGAAUUUGGUGAAGCAAACCUUCACAAAACUUUUCCUCCCUCGUGCAAGGGAUUAUGGGUAAUAGCUGAAAAAAUGUCCACGGAUCCACACUUCAAAAAUCUACCAUAAAUUGUAGACCAUCCAGGUACUAAUUUCACUAUAUUACCAUUUGGGACACACUAAUUCUGUACACGCUAGUACUGAUAGUAUACCAGUUGGGACGCAGGGAAUGACUUAUAUAACGGUUAUCAGGCUGAGAUGAGACACACGUGUGAGUGAUUGAAAACAUGUGACAUUCCGGUGCUGAUGGAAAGUGUAGUUCAACGCCCUUUGGGUGCCAUCAUGACACUUCACUUUCAGUUAGAGUCCACUCUUGUUAAAUGCUGCACGUUUAAAUUGUAUUACAACUGCCUUCUCUUUCUCUCAUCAGAAUUUUUAUAUUUAUUAUUAAGCUUUAUAUGUGCUUAAAACAACCCUUAAAGGUAAAAUCAACCUUGAACAUUUUGCAUUUUUCUCUUAUUAAUAAUUAACAUGUGAGCUUCAGUGACAUCAAAGAUUGAUUUUGCAAUGAAAUUCUGAGUUGUUUUUUAUUUCUUCAUUAACAUGUUGGUCUGUUUCCUUUUGGUUAACAGUUUCCUUCCCACAAUGCUGUUCAUUUCCAGUACCUGCUGAUAAUGGUGCAGUAGGAUUUAGGCCUUGCUUCAGCUCUAUGUCAGGACUGAUGAAGCAGCACUUCAGUCUUUUAGUCUGUUAGUCUGUUCAGCUCUCUCACCUUCUCACCUUGUACACUCUGCUCAAACAGCUCCAGUUUCAAAGCUUCGAUAUUCAUGCUAAUACCGUUGUCAAUGCCGCCAUGCUUGUCAUCUCAUAGAUCACUAACUAGCCAAAAUGAAUCUCUGACAUAACUUAGCGUAAUUGUUUCGUACAACUGCAUUGCCUUCUGGAACUUUGAGUCCACUUUUUUAUCUUGCUCUUUUGUUUUUAGGUUCAAACUUGAUCGUUUUUCUUUAUGUUUGAGAUUGCUGAAUUUUUUUCUGUGACAUCAGCACUUCACACAACCACUAACUUUCAUGCUCAUGAGAACAACAAUAAUACAGCAUCCACCAAAAAAAAAUCAUCAGAAUUGCUAGGCACAUUACAAAUAUUUUAAUAUAAACAUAUUUAAUGUAGUUUAGGGUGGACAUUUCCUUUAAGCUUUCUGCUAUAGUGAAAUGGUACACCUGUAUAAACAACUAUAGACACCAUAUCACAACUUUGGUAUGUAUUUUGUCUGAAUAGACCUUUGGUUUUCACCAGCAGGAUAGCAAAGACGUGCUUGCUUGGGUAAUAUUGGAGUGAAAUAUAGUAUUUUAGUCAAUGGCUUGUGUCCGGCGCGAUGCCCAGAUGGGUCCGGUGAGACUGACUCAGGCCAGGCAGCCCAUGUCAUUCUGGGCAUGGCCAUGUGGUCAGCCUAGCCAAGAUAUUCCCAUGGUUCACUAGUGCCCGUUUACCAAACAGUGCCAAACCAGCACAGGCCAAGCUUAAUACAGAAUGUGUAUAAGUACAAGCAGCUGUAGGGAAGCUGGCAGCGAGGUGAGGUCCUGCCUCAUGUGAAGGGAUCACUGAGUAACUCCAGGAGAGAGAGAGCGAAAGGGGGGGUUAGAAAACACAGAGGAUCUGGGCCUGGUUGUGCUGGCAGGUUAAAUAUCUCCAGGCUAGGAGUGCAGUGAGGGCAUAUGGCCUGUGGUGAAAAAAAAGAGAAGCCCAGCACACAUGUGGCUUUCACAUCACUGCUCUUUAACUUGCUCUCGCUCUCUUGUGACCAUUAUCUGCUUGGUAUUUGAACCUCCUGCCACCUGCAUUGGCAUGUUGAUUUGCUUCCAGGCUCCUGCAUGGAAGGGCAGUGUCUUCAGUUUUUUUCUUUUUUCACAUUGUUUGUUUGAUGCUGUGAGGAGAUAUGAGCUGAAUGGUUGUCCCUUUCCAAACACAAAGGCUGUAAAAAUUCACCCCCUAUGUGAGGGUUGCCACUGUUUGACCACAAUAUCCACUCCCUUCCUGUAGCCUACUAUACUCAAGGAAGAAUAGCACAAGGAAAGAAAUCUACCUCUUGUAAUUACUAUUAUAAUGAUAAAUGUAAAUACCAAUUAACACAGACAACCAUUCUAGAGUAAUCUGGAACACUCUCAUUGUGAAAUGAGAUGUAGGUUAUGAAGUACCAGGCCAAAGUGGAGCAUCUCCUAGAAGUAGCUUAUUAAAUAAUGCCCAACUAAUUGCUUUGUCUUCCUUUUGUCCUGCUGGUGUACAUGUUAUUAAGCGUGUUUCAUAUAUCUUAGAAUAAUGAGGAAGACACGCCUGGCACCUGCAUGCUGUAAUUAAACAUAUAAAUUCUCUCCUUGCAGAAUUAUUUGUGGUCACGAACUGAUUUAUACAGCUUGCUAAAUUGCAAUGUUGAGCUUAUUUUCUUUCCCUGAAAGAGCUGGAGAAAGGAACCUCAUUCAUCAGGCACCUUUGCCAGAAUAAGCUUCUCUA
Molecule: long non-coding RNA, 6534 nt
Organism: Ictalurus punctatus (channel catfish)
Lineage: Eukaryota; Metazoa; Chordata; Actinopteri; Siluriformes; Ictaluridae
Source: Ensembl